UUUCCAUUUUCCCUCUAUGGAUCUUCCUGGUGUGAUAGUUCCCUGUCCAUCGUCACAAAUAGCUUACAGAGACAGUGGUAACCAUGGAGAUGUCCGGGGACAUUGUUUAUACCAAUGAAGAUGUUUUCUGGGAACCGUUUGGAGUUGACAACCAUAACUAUGUCUUUGAAGAGUCCAUGUGUGAAACUCCAGAUGUGUCUACUUACUACCAGACUGGGAAUGAGGAGACCCCAAGAAGCACACCACAACCUGGCUACUCAGGUUCUGAGAGCUCAGUGAAGAGACCAGUGAAGAGACCCUUCCUAGUUGCUGCAGUGUGUCUGGGGCUGCUGUGUGUURUCCUACUGGCUGGGAUCAUUGGGUUGUCAGUCUCCUGUAAGUUUGACAAGUACAAUUGUGCUUAUCAUUUAUUUCUAGGUAACAAGUAUGAAAUGGGUUAUAAAGCAACCAUUGCUUCGUCUGUUUUUAGAUCACGUUCACAUUGGCAACUUAUAGAGAGACAAAGACAAUCUUAACAAUUUGCUUUCUGGUCAAUGAGUUGACAUUUAUUUUCUUUGUAGAAUAUUGAUUAAAUUCAUUGUGAUUUCA
This is a non-coding RNA of Salvelinus sp. IW2-2015, 588 nucleotides long. Lineage: Eukaryota; Metazoa; Chordata; Actinopteri; Salmoniformes; Salmonidae. The record is from RefSeq and is a predicted model, not a curated record.